GUGCUGGCUUUGGACAUACAUAUGCUACAAUUGGAACCACACAGAUGACCAUGAUUCCUGUGCAGGAUGCCGUGCAAAUUCAUGAAGCGUUCCAUAUCUUU
RNAcentral lists this small nuclear RNA (101 nucleotides) under Cebus imitator (Panamanian white-faced capuchin). Lineage: Eukaryota; Metazoa; Chordata; Mammalia; Primates; Cebidae. The record is from RNAcentral.